This 511-nucleotide ribosomal RNA is filed under the name uncultured Candida. RNAcentral's name for it is "eukaryotic LSU rRNA". It matches the Rfam family "Eukaryotic large subunit ribosomal RNA", at positions 62 to 576 of the family's 3401-position model. The record is from RNAcentral. Lineage: Eukaryota; Fungi; Ascomycota; Saccharomycetes; Saccharomycetales.
AAACCAACAGGGAUUGCCUUAGUAACGGCGAGUGAAGCGGCAAAAGCUCAAAUUUGAAAUCUAGUACCUUCGGUGCUCGAGUUGUAAUUUGAAGAUAGUUUUCUGGAGUUGGCCCUUGUCUAUGUUCCUUGGAACAGGACGUCAUAGAGGGUGAGAAUCCCGUCUGAUGGGGUGUCCAAUUCUUUGUAGAUUUCUAUCGAAGAGUCGAGUUGUUUGGGAAUGCAGCUCUAAGUGGGUGGUAAAUUCCAUCUAAAGCUAAAUACUGGCGAGAGACCGAUAGCGAACAAGUACAGUGAUGGAAAGAUGAAAAGAACUUUGAAAAGAGAGUGAAAAAGUACGUGAAAUUGUUGAAAGGGAAGGGUAUUGGAUCAGACUUUGGUGUUUUGUGAUUUAUCUUCCCUUCUUGGGUUGUGCACUCGCAUUUCACUGGGCCAGCAUCGGUUCGGAUGGCAAGAUAAUGGCUUGGGAACGUGGCACUCCUCGGAGUGUGUUAUAGCCCUUGUUGAUGUUG